This 301-nucleotide ribosomal RNA is filed under the name uncultured bacterium. RNAcentral's name for it is "partial 16S ribosomal RNA". It matches the Rfam family "Bacterial small subunit ribosomal RNA", at positions 509 to 807 of the family's 1533-position model. The record is from RNAcentral.
CAGUCGCCGCGGUAAUACAGAGGGUGCAAGCGUUAAUCGGAAUUACUGGGCGUAAAGCGCGCGUAGGUGGUUUGUUAAGUUGGAUGUGAAAUCCCCGGGCUCAACCUGGGAACUGCAUCCAAAACUGGCAAGCUAGAGUAUGGUAGAGGGUGGUGGAAUUUCCUGUGUAGCGGUGAAAUGCGUAGAUAUAGGAAGGAACACCAGUGGCGAAGGCGACCACCUGGACUGAUACUGACACUGAGGUGCGAAAGCGUGGGGAGCAAACAGGAUUAGAUACCCCAGUAGUCCCUGUCCCUUAUAC